This is a non-coding RNA of Phrynosoma platyrhinos (Desert horned lizard), 73 nucleotides long. The record is from the annotation of a GenBank genome assembly. Lineage: Eukaryota; Metazoa; Chordata; Lepidosauria; Squamata; Phrynosomatidae.
GGCUAGUGUGGUGCAGUGGUUUGAGCAUUGGACUACGACUCCCGAGACCAGGCUUUGAUUCCCCACUUGGCCA